GGGAGGUAGUGACAAUAAAUAACAAUACGGGGUUCUUAUGGAUCUCGUAAUUGGAAUGAGUACAAUUUAAAUCUCUUAACGAGGAACAAUUGGAGGGCAAGUCUGGUGCCAGCAGCCGCGGUAAUUCCAGCUCCAAUAGCGUAUAUUAAAGUUGUUGCAGUUAAAAAGCUCGUAGUUGAAUUUCGGGAUCAAUUUGCUGGUCGUGCCUCUGGUACGUACUGGUAUUAUUGGUUUCUCCCUUCUGACGAACCAUGAUGUCAUUAAUUUGAUGUCGUGGAGAAUCAGGACUGUUACUUUGAAAAAUUAGAGUGUUUAAAGCAGGCAUUAGCUUGAAUACAUUAGCAUGGAAUAAUGAAAUAGGACGUUUGAUCCUAUUUCGUUGGUUUCUAGGAUCGACGUAAUGAUUAAUAGGGAUAGUUGGG
Molecule: ribosomal RNA, 422 nt
Filed under: uncultured Glomeraceae
Lineage: Eukaryota; Fungi; Glomeromycota; Glomeromycetes; Glomerales; Glomeraceae
Description: SSU rRNA
Rfam family: Eukaryotic small subunit ribosomal RNA
Source: RNAcentral